RNAcentral lists this unclassified non-coding RNA (220 nucleotides) under Lachnospiraceae bacterium KH1T2. RNAcentral describes it as "Bacterial large signal recognition particle RNA". The stretch from base 90 to 189 matches the Rfam family "Bacterial small signal recognition particle RNA". The record is from RNAcentral. Lineage: Bacteria; Bacillati; Bacillota; Clostridia; Lachnospirales; Lachnospiraceae.
GCGUACUUAAAGAUCCGGCAAGACCGGAUUGACAAGAUGGGCUUUAGAAGUUAAAAUACUAAAAGUGUCCGUCUUGACGGGUACUCCAGGCUCCGGUCCCACGCAAUGGAAAUCCAUGAACCGUGUCAGGUCGGGAACGAAGCAGCACUAAGUGGAACCUUCCAUGUGACGUGGGGGCUCCGGGGUCUGGAGUUCUCUUUGAGACGGACAUUUUUUAUAC